UACAUCUGGCCGACGUCGGCCUGAGGACUACACAUCGGCCCUGAAUUUAUAACGUCUGACAAGCGUCGGCCGCAUGGGCGGAUAUCUUUAAAUUUAAUACUCUUUUGUCCCAGCUCAUCAAACGUCUCUGUUACGUCGGCUUUGGGUCGGCCCAGUGCCGUAGAAUGUCUGCCCACAUACGGAAGUCGCCACAGAGGCGGAAUUUCAUCUCCGCGGUGUUUGUUUGGAACUGAGCUCGCAGGACACAGCAUCUCAUCGCAGUUGGUUUCAGUUGACGUUAUCUGCUCAUCUGGUUAUCGUGAACACUCGUUUUGGGUUAAAGUGGAAGUGCCCGGAGCUGCCAGCCGUGGUCCCACCUGACCUCCGGGGCCCUGGACGGAUGCUCAAGUGUGGGUGACAAGCGCAGAGAGGAGCGCAGAGGUCAAAUAGUGAAGUUUAAAGAUGCCUUCGGUAUGUUGGUAAUGUGAUUUUAUGGGCAAUUUAUCAGUUGAGGUCUCCUCCUCUGCAAAGCAAACUGACCCGGUGGCUACAGGUAAUAGCGCAGUUUUGAAGCCACUGUUUUUCCGAGAUGAAGGACUGAUUGUUGAGCUGCUGUUAACAGUUAACAGAGUUAACGCCGGAUCCCGUUAUUUAACAGUUUCCACACUGAAUGAAGCAGAGUGACGGACCCAAAGCCUUCAAUCUGGCUAAAAGACAGCUGAAAUACUAAAAAAAAAUACAGUGGUGAAGUUGGGAUUUGUUUCUUGAAGUUAUGUGCUCAUCAUCUUUUCUGUGUCUUGCAGGCUGCCAGGAGAAGCGGACUGGCCGUCAGAUAUUGUUUGUGGAAAUUUGAAAAUAAAGUUUCUCAAAUUGA
Long non-coding RNA from Epinephelus moara (kelp grouper), 853 nucleotides. RefSeq lists it as uncharacterized. The transcript has 2 exons. The record is from RefSeq and is a predicted model, not a curated record. Lineage: Eukaryota; Metazoa; Chordata; Actinopteri; Perciformes; Serranidae.